This 1068-nucleotide long non-coding RNA is filed under the name Gorilla gorilla gorilla (western lowland gorilla). Its description in RNAcentral is "lncRNA (ENSGGOG00000044407.1)". The record is from RNAcentral. Lineage: Eukaryota; Metazoa; Chordata; Mammalia; Primates; Hominidae.
GUGAUGAAGCACUGGUUGUGAGCCAGAUCAAAACCCUGUCCUGGGGAGACAAUUGGGUAUGUCCAGGUGCAGUUGUUCAAUGUGAUUUAGUCCCUACCAGGAGGUCUGGUUGCCUGGGUUCAGAACAGCAGAGGAAAAAUUAGACAAAAGACACAUUCAGAAGUCAAGGUGCUCUGACAGUUCAGCAGAGAUAUGACCUAACUUCAACCAGCAGACAGGAUCUGACCUAGGAAAGAUGAAGACAAAAACCAGAUCUCAAACAGAUGUAUUGUAGUUCAAGGUAGGGCAAUCAGACCUGUAGGGAGACUGAGCAGGCCACUGAAUUGGGCCCCCGAAAGAGAAGCCCAGACACGAGGACUGGACCCACCCAGGAACUGGGAGUAAAGCAAUUUGGGGACAGAUGGGUCCUAGGCCUCGCCUCUAGGAAACCUGGAUUGCCCAGUCGGUGCUGAAGGUGUUUCAGAUCUGCUUGGAUCUAUAAUAUUGGACUUGCUCUAAAUUACUGAGAAGCAAAUGGAACCACAUGUUACAAAUAUUUCACAAGAACCAGUACCAUACCUUUAAACAUCUUGAUUAUGAUCUACUUGACAGUCAUAUUUGAGUUGUUGCUCUGUAUAACAUAGGAGUUGGGCUACACCUUCAGAAUAACUGGCAAAGCACCACCAACUGGCUGUGUCCUGAGAGGCUACCCAGCAACCUGGCUUUUUGUCUGAGUAUCAGACGCCCACUCUUCAUUGGACCAUAGAGGUUUUUCUCCCUAGUCCUCACCUCCAGCUCACUCCGCCAAGUUAUUAGGAGUCUCUGAAAGAAACACGGAACACCCAGAGCAGAAAGCCAAUUGUCUAAUUGGGCCAUCAGAUAGGGAAGAAAUGACAACUUCAACAAGAUUUCUUGUGAUCUUUGAGAGAGUUCAUCCAUCAUGCAACAUUGAUGAUCCCUGCAGAAGUUAAAAGUCUAGGAAUCAGAAAUUUGUGAAUGUGUUUUGCCUCUUCAAUUGCCUCUACUGAUCAAGAAAGCAAAGACCCCCUAAACUUCAGGACAAAAAGUGAAGAAUAAAUUUGAUUUGUG